UACCAGGGUGGUAACGGGUAACGGGGUGUUAGGGCGCGACACCGGAGAGGGAGCCUGAGAAACGGCUACCACAUCCAAGGAUGGCAGCAGGCGCGCAAAUUACCCAAUCCCGACACGGGGAGGUAGGGACAAUAAAUAACAAUACGGGGUUCUUUAGGAUCUCGUAAUUGGAAUGAGUACAAUUUAAAUCUCUUAACGAGGAACAAUUGGAGGGCAAGUCUGGUGCCAGCAGCCGCGGUAAUUCCAGCUCCAAUAGCGUAUAUUAAAGUUGUUGCAGUUAAAAAGCUCGUAGUUGAAUUUCGGGGUCAGUAGGUCGGUCGUGCCACUGGUAUGAACUGGUUUUACUGAUUCCUCCCUCUUGAAGAACUGUAAUGCCAUUAAUUUGGUGUUGCAGGGAAUCAGGACUGUUACUUUGAAAAAAUUAGAGUGUUUAAAGCAGGCUUUAGCUUGAAUACAUUAGCAUGGAAUAAUGAAAUAGGACGUUUGAUCCUAUUUUGUUGGUUUCUAGGAUUGACGUAAUGAUUAAUAGGGAUAGUUGGGGGCAUUAGUAUUCAAUUGUCAGAGGUGAAAUUCUUGGAUUUAUUGGAGACUAACUACUGCGAAAGCAUUUGCCAAGGAUGUUUUCAUUAAUCAAGAACGAAAGUUAGGGGAUCGAAGACGAUCAGAUACCGUCUUAGUCUUAACCAUAAACUAUGCCGACUAGGGAUCGGAUGAUGUUAAUUUUUUAAUGACUCAUUCGGCGCCUUACGGGAAACCAAAGUGUUU
RNAcentral lists this ribosomal RNA (765 nucleotides) under uncultured Glomus. Its description in RNAcentral is "SSU rRNA". It matches the Rfam family "Eukaryotic small subunit ribosomal RNA", at positions 342 to 1108 of the family's 1831-position model. Lineage: Eukaryota; Fungi; Glomeromycota; Glomeromycetes; Glomerales; Glomeraceae. The record is from RNAcentral.